UGGGGUGACUGCGUACCUUUUGUAUAAUGGGUCAGCGACUUAUAUUCUGUAGCAAGGUUAACCGAAUAGGGGAGCCGGAGGGAAACCGAGUCUUAACUGGGCGUUAAGUUGCAGGGUAUAGACCCGAAACCCGGUGAUCUAGCCAUGGGCAGGUUGAAGGUUGGGUAACACUAACUGGAGGACCGAACCGACUAAUGUUGAAAAAUUAGCGGAUGACUUGUGGCUGGGGGUGAAAGGCCAAUCAAACCGGGAGAUAGCUGGUUCUCCCCGAAAGCUAUUUAGGUAGCGCCUCGUGAAUUCAUCUCCGGGGGUAGAGCACUGUUUCGGCAAGGGGGUCAUCCCGACUUACCAACCCGAUGCAAACUGCGAAUACCGGAGAAUGUUAUCACGGGAGACACACGGCGGGUGCUAACGUCCGUCGUGAAGAGGGAAACAACCCAGACCGCCAGCUAAGGUCCCAAAGUCAUGGUUAAGUGGGAAACGAUGUGGGAAGGCCCAGACAGCCAGGAUGUUGGCUUAGAAGCAGCCAUCAUUUAAAGAAAGCGUAAUAGCUCACUGGUCGAGUCGGCCUGCGCGGAAGAUGUAACGGGGCUAAACCAUGCACCGAAGCUGCGGCAGCGACGCUGAUGCGUUGUUGGGUAGGGGAGCGUUCUGUAAGCCUGUGAAGGUGUGCUGUGAGGCAUGCUGGAGGUAUCAGAAGUGCGAAUGCUGACAUAAGUAACGAUAAAGCGGGUGAAAAGCCCGCUCGCCGGAAGACCAAGGGUUCCUGUCCAACGUUAAUCGGGGCAGGGUGAGUCGACCCCUAAGGCGAGGCCGAAAGGCGUAGUCGAUGGGAAACAGGUUAAUAUUCCUGUACUUGGUGUUACUGCGAAGGGGGGACGGAGAAGGCUAUGUUGGCCGGGCGACGGUUGUCCCGGUUUAAGCGUGUAGGCUGGUUUUCCAGGCAAAUCCGGAGAAUCAAGGCUGAGGCGUGAUGACGAGGCACUACGGUGCUGAAGCAACAAAUGCCCUGCUUCCAGGAAAAGCCUCUAAGCAUCAGGUAACAUCAAAUCGUACCCCAAACCGACACAGGUGGUCAGGUAGAGAAUACCAAGGCGCUUGAGAGAACUCGGGUGAAGGAACUAGGCAAAAUGGUGCCGUAACUUCGGGAGAAGGCACGCUGAUAUGUAGGUGAAGCGACUUGCUCGUGGAGCUGAAAUCAGUCGAAGAUACCAGCUGGCUGCAACUGUUUAUUAAAAACACAGCACUGUGCAAACACGAAAGUGGACGUAUACGGUGUGACGCCUGCCCGGUGCCGGAAGGUUAAUUGAUGGGGUCAGCGCAAGCGAAGCUCUUGAUCGAAGCCCCGGUAAACGGCGGCCGUAACUAUAACGGUCCUAAGGUAGCGAAAUUCCUUGUCGGGUAAGUUCCGACCUGCACGAAUGGCGUAAUGAUGGCCAGGCUGUCUCCACCCGAGACUCAGUGAAAUUGAACUCGCUGUGAAGAUGCAGUGUACCCGCGGCAAGACGGAAAGACCCCGUGAACCUUUACUAUAGCUUGACACUGAACACUGGUCCUUGAUGUGUAGGAUAGGUGGGAGGCUUUGAAGUGUGGACGCCAGUCUGCAUGGAGCCGUCCUUGAAAUACCACCCUUUAAUGGCUGGUGUUCUAACGUAGGCCCCUUAUCGGGGUUGCGGACAGUGUCUGGUGGGUAGUUUGACUGGGGCGGUCUCCUCCUAAAGAGUAACGGAGGAGCACGAAGGUUGGCUAAUCCUGGUCGGACAUCAGGAGGUUAGUGCAAUGGCAUAAGCCAGCUUGACUGCGAGCGUGACGGCGCGAGCAGGUGCGAAAGCAGGUCAUAGUGAUCCGGUGGUUCUGAAUGGAAGGGCCAUCGCUCAACGGAUAAAAGGUACUCCGGGGAUAACAGGCUGAUACCGCCCAAGAGUUCAUAUCGACGGCGGUGUUUGGCACCUCGAUGUCGGCUCAUCACAUCCUGGGGCUGAAGUAGGUCCCAAGGGUAUGGCUGUUCGCCAUUUAAAGUGGUACGCGAGCUGGGUUUAGAACGUCGUGAGACAGUUCGGUCCCUAUCUGCCGUGGGCGCUGGAGAACUGAGGGGGGCUGCUCCUAGUACGAGAGGACCGGAGUGGACGCAUCACUGGUGUUCGGGUUGUCAUGCCAAUGGCACUGCCCGGUAGCUAAAUGCGGAAGAGAUAAGUGCUGAAAGCAUCUAAGCACGAAACUUGCCCCGAGAUGAGUUCUCCCUGACCCUUUAAGGGUCCUGAAGGAACGUUGAAGACGACGACGUUGAUAGGCCGGGUGUGUAAGCGCAGCGAUGCGUUGAGCUAACCGGUACUAAUGAACCGUGAGGCUUAACCUU
Molecule: ribosomal RNA, 2356 nt
Filed under: Escherichia albertii
Lineage: Bacteria; Pseudomonadati; Pseudomonadota; Gammaproteobacteria; Enterobacterales; Enterobacteriaceae
Description: partial 23S ribosomal RNA
Rfam family: Bacterial large subunit ribosomal RNA
Source: RNAcentral